This is a non-coding RNA of Caenorhabditis elegans, 138 nucleotides long. The record is from Ensembl. Lineage: Eukaryota; Metazoa; Nematoda; Chromadorea; Rhabditida; Rhabditidae.
CGAUGGCGCCGACAAACACUUAUUCACGCAUAAUAAUAAUGAUCAAUCCAGUCUCGGAAAAAGAGGUGCGGUCACGAAGCUUCUGCUUUAUCACAUUUCUCUUGUAUUUAGGGAAAUUCGAACUGUUUAAAGUCAAAC